GGCUUUUGCGGGAAGUGGGGGAAGUGAGAGAGCCUCUGUCACUCCCCCCACCUCCCGCAAGAGCC
This 65-nucleotide microRNA precursor is filed under the name Podarcis lilfordi (Lilford's wall lizard). The record is from RNAcentral. Lineage: Eukaryota; Metazoa; Chordata; Lepidosauria; Squamata; Lacertidae.